GCUUGCUUUGGCCACAUAUAUACUAAAAUUGGAAUGAUAACAGAGAAGAUUAGCAUGGCCCCUGUGCAAGGAUGACAUGUAAAUUUUUGCAGAGUACAGUGAGGGAUGCCGCUUUUUU
Molecule: non-coding RNA, 118 nt
Organism: Canis lupus familiaris (dog)
Lineage: Eukaryota; Metazoa; Chordata; Mammalia; Carnivora; Canidae
Source: Rfam